This 465-nucleotide ribosomal RNA is filed under the name uncultured bacterium. RNAcentral describes it as "partial 16S ribosomal RNA". It matches the Rfam family "Bacterial small subunit ribosomal RNA", at positions 338 to 795 of the family's 1533-position model. The record is from RNAcentral.
CCUACGGGAGGCUGCAGUAGGGAAUCUUCCACAAUGGACGAAAGUCUGAUGGAGCAACGCCGCGUGAGUGAAGAAGGGUUUCGGCUCGUAAAGCUCUGUUGGUAGUGAAGAAAGAUAGAGGUAGUAACUGGCCUUUAUUUGACGGUAAUUACUUAGAAAGUCACGGCUAACUACGUGCCAGCAGCCGCGGUAAUACGUAGGUGGCAAGCGUUGUCCGGAUUUAUUGGGCGAAAAGCGAUUGCAGGCGGUUCAAUAAGUCUGAUGUGAAAGCCUUCGGCUCAACCGGAGAAUUGCAUCAGAAACUGUUGAACUGGAGUGCAGAAGAGGAGAGUGGAACUCCAUGUGUAGCGGUGGAAUGCGUAGAGAUAUGGAAGAAAACCAGUGGCGAAGGCGGCUCUCUGGUCUGCAACUGACGCUGAGGCUCGAAAGCAUGGGUAGCGAACAGGAUUAGAUACCCUGGUAGUC